CAGCAUGCUAACUGUAGUGUUACUUUGUAGUCUAUGAGCCAGUUAUCAAAUUUUGACUUAAUUGGUACUACGCAAGGUGAUGAAACGACACUUAGAAUCCAGCCUCAGUGUACCAUGGCCUACACAAAAAUGUAUGAUAACCAUCAUAGGGUAUUAGCUGUAGCCAGCGAAGAAUUAGAGGUCAGAAUGUAAAAAUGCUUCAAUCAUGUUGAAAACUAUACUACAUUAUUUGUCUGAUCAUAAUUCCAAAAAGGUAUAGUUUGGACUAUCUAUGAUGGAUUGUUCUGGAGUUAUGGGG
Thalassophryne amazonica is the source of this 298-nucleotide long non-coding RNA. RefSeq lists it as uncharacterized. The record is from RefSeq and is a predicted model, not a curated record. Lineage: Eukaryota; Metazoa; Chordata; Actinopteri; Batrachoidiformes; Batrachoididae. The transcript is spliced from 4 exons.